Molecule: ribosomal RNA, 364 nt
Filed under: uncultured eukaryote
Lineage: Eukaryota
Description: partial 18S ribosomal RNA
Rfam family: Eukaryotic small subunit ribosomal RNA
Source: RNAcentral
CAAAAGCGUAUAUUAAAGUUGUUGCAGUUAAAAAGCUCGUAGUUGAACCUUGGGCUUGGCUGGCCGGUCCAUCUUUUUUGAUGCGUACUGGACCCAGCCGAGCCUUUCCUUCUGGCUAGCCUUUUGGCGAACCAGGACUUUUACUUUGAAAAAAUUAGAGUGUUCAAAGCAGGCCUUUGCUCGAAUAUAUUAGCAUGGAAUAAUAGAAUAGGACGUUAUGGUUCUAUUUUGUUGGUUUCUAGGACCAUCGUAAUGAUUAAUAGGGACGGUCGGGGGUAUCAGUAUUCAGUUGUCAGAGGUGAAAUUCUUGGAUUUACUGAAGACUAACUACUGCGAAAGCAUCUACCAAGGACGUUUUCAUUAA